UGGAAGCGCGUGCGCGGCUACGCGGCUGUACUUUCCCGGACGGCAGGGGCGUGACCUUCACCGUCAGGGGCGGAGCCUGGCCGCCCAGUCUGACCCCGACUGUACGGCUCCACGACCCCCUAAGCACAUGGCGCGGCACGUGUUCCUCACCGGGCCUCCAGGGGUUGGCAAAACAACCUUGAUCCAGAAAGCCAGCGAGGUCCUGCAGUCCUCCGGGGUGCCCGUAGAUGGAUUUUACACACAAGAAGUCAGGCAGGGAGGGAGGAGGAUCGGAUUUGAUGUUGUCACCCUGUCUGGCUCUCGGGGGCCUCUGUCCAGAGUUGGGUCACAGCCUCCACCUGGAAAGCCUGAGUGCCGAGUGGGGCAGUAUGUGGUGGACCUGGCUUCUUUUGAGCAGUUGGCACUACCUGUCCUAAGAAAUGCAGGUCCCAGCGGCGGCCCCAGGCACAGUGUGUGCAUCAUUGAUGAGAUUGGGAAGAUGGAGCUGUUCAGCCAGCCUUUCAUUCAGGCAGUCCGCCAGACACUGUCCACACCAGGCACUGUUGUCCUCGGCACCAUCCCAGUCCCCAAAGGGAAGCCACUGGCCCUGGUGGAGGAGAUCAGGAACAGGCGUGACGUGAAGGUGUUCAAUGUCACUAAGGAGAACAGAGAUAGCCUCCUGCCGGAUAUUGUGACCUGCGUGCAGAGCAGCAGGACCUGAGGCCGCAGGCAACCAGGUCCAGCUCUGCCUGCUGGUUACUGCCUGCCCAGGCUGGUUCCCCGCUGUGUCACCGAACUUACACUGCUGACCUCCGACCCUAGCAAUGAGUGAACUGGGUGGAAGGGCACUCCCCUUAGUGGACAGCGCCCCAGAGUACAAGUGAGAAAGGGGCUCAGUGCCGAAUAAACAAGUAAGCAUGGCAGAAUGAAGAAGCACCCGUCUGAACCAUCCAUGAGAACCCACCAGGAAUGCUGUCACACUCCCGCGAAGCUUAGGAAGCCCCCAGCAACAGAGGCUCAUUACUGAGAGAGGAAGAAGACGGCACUGAAUGACAGUUGGAGACCAAGGCACGUGACCUACCUUGAUGACCUUGAAGCUCAGGAAACCCCUGUGGAGCAUGAUGACCUUGUACUCAUCAGCACCCUCGUCCACCACGUGCCUCAGAGUCAACAGCUCCUCCUUGUUGGACAGCACAGCGCUCCUCCAGGCUGGGUCUCCCUCGUGGCAGAUCACGACCUUCUUCUCAAAGGACUGGAUGGCCUCAUAGAGAACUGCCGGGUCUUCAUAUUCAUCAGGGCAGGUGAACUGGUCCUGGUGGGGAGAGCCCAAGUGGGCUCAGUGAGGCCAGAGCUGCUGGUCUGGGCAAGGGCAGAGGGGGACUUGCAGUGGCCUCUAGGGCCACACGCUCUCCUUGUUUUCCUCCCUCAGCCCCCCAGCCCCUACCCCAUCACUGAAUCCUAAGCUGGGCACAGAGGGCAGCUCAACUCAUUGUCCCUAACCAGAUGGAGCAUGCCUAGGAAAGAGCUGCAUUUCUCAGACCUCUGUGACAUUUAGGUCAAUCCCCCUCUUCCUUGUGAACCUCCUCCUAUGUGCUCCUGGGAGAAGAAGGCCAUUAGCCAAUAUCAAGUUUAUUCAGACCACCCCAAAGUACUGAAUAAUUUCUGAGGCUCUCCAGAAAAGAGGUACCAGAUUUUGUUGGUUUUGUUUG
Onychomys torridus (southern grasshopper mouse) is the source of this 1688-nucleotide RNA transcript. It is a transcript of the gene named nucleoside-triphosphatase, cancer-related, with no coding region annotated. NCBI's taxonomy places the organism in Eukaryota, Metazoa, Chordata, Mammalia, Rodentia, Cricetidae. The transcript is spliced from 7 exons. The record is from RefSeq and is a predicted model, not a curated record.